GGGACAAGUCUCAUAGACUUAUAAAGUCAAGAUGAGAUCACAGAGGAUCAUCAUCUGAAACUAGGCUUGAGAGUUAUCCAGAAACAGAUAAGGCUGGAGAAACAGACUAAUUAUGCCGGGGUGAGGAACCUAUGGCCCUCCAGAUUUCAACUCCCAUCAUCUGGUGCUGUUGGGAGUCCAGCAAUAUCUGAACUCAGCAAUUUCUGCAAUAGGUGCUCAAUGGAAUCAAACAUCCUUGUCAUGAUAUGUAUCAUAAUUGGACUCAAAGGACUGAUUUCCACAGCUGUACGCGUGCAAACUUGCAGAUGGAAUUUUUUAAUCUUCCUAUAUAUCAUCUCAUGUGUUGGUUUUUCUCAUGCACGGCCAAGAAUUGUUUUGACCCUUCUCUGCAGCUCUGUCAAAACUGCCACAGACUCUUUAGUAUUGUACUCUUUUUGUCAAGUUCCUUGGUUUGGUUUGGUUUUUUCUAAUGAUAUUGCUCCCAGUGCAUUGUUAGUUUUAAUUUUCUUGGGCUGCCAUAGUGCUUUUUGUGUUAUUCUUCCCAGUUUAGUGUUAUGUGCAAGUAUUGUUCAUUGGUCUGGUAGAAAUGAGUCCUUUGGUUUAACCAUUGGCCCAUUCUAUGGUUUGUUUAAUGUGAUAACCUUCUUGAACAUGGAGAUCUCUGAAUGACAUUUGGUAUAGGUGUUGAGGACACCGUUCUAGGUUUCACGCUCAGAUACUAGCUCUACCUCCAAUCCUGUUUUUCAAAGAGGCAAGGGUAAAUGGAAAAUGCAUUGUAAUGUGAUCUCUGCUUUCAGCACUGAGAUAAACAGAAUUAAAGCUGGUGUGCAUGUUCAGGGCACCAUAUUACAUGCCAAGUUCAAUCCCAGGUCCAUGACCCCCAUCCCAAUCUCUACACUCCCUGCUUCACAAACUCAUGAAUGUUGACAACCAACACUUGAAGAAAAUACGACUGGCAUCCAGAGCUUUUUCCCACCCUUUGGGUAUGUGCUGCUGCCCUUGCUAAGAAGCCAAAAAGUCCCUGGGACUUGACCAUAACUCAUUCUUUGGCAUCAUGAGCUAUGCCUUGGCAGUGAAUUCACCCUUGGCAUGGUGAGCUGGAAACUUGACACUGAUGCUCUUUUGGAAAUUCAGAGGUGUUGACAUCACCAGCUGACAUCAUCAGGGUGUGGAUCUCGAGCGUGAUCCUAAGAGGUGAUGGGUUGUCAUGUUCUACCUGAUCCAUAUUCAGCCGCCCGCUAACUGUCCUCAUGGCCUUUUCCCUUUCUCCUCUAACUCAGUGACAGCCAGGAUUCUUGAUUCAUGCCUUGUUGCCUUAAGGGCCUUUCCAGACUUUCUAGAAUGAAGUCUUUUGUUUGAACGUGUUAUUAUCUGGCUGUAAAAGCUCCCUUUCUUGGCAUCCAGAGGGACUGCAGAUUUCAACUGCUUGUUCUGCUUUUCAGUUAACUCAAGGUUGAAAGUAAAC
This is a long non-coding RNA of Rhineura floridana, 1465 nucleotides long. RefSeq lists it as uncharacterized. The record is from RefSeq and is a predicted model, not a curated record. The transcript has 3 exons. NCBI's taxonomy places the organism in Eukaryota, Metazoa, Chordata, Lepidosauria, Squamata, Rhineuridae.